This 440-nucleotide ribosomal RNA is filed under the name uncultured bacterium. RNAcentral's name for it is "partial 16S ribosomal RNA". It matches the Rfam family "Bacterial small subunit ribosomal RNA", at positions 338 to 795 of the family's 1533-position model. The record is from RNAcentral.
CCUACGGGAGGCAGCAGUGAGGAAUAUUGCUCAAUGGGGGAAACCCUGAAGCAGCAACGCCGCGUGAAGGAUGAAGGUUUUCGGAGUUUAAACUUCUUUUGUUAGAGAAGAUAAUGACGGUACCUAACGAAUAAGCACCGGCUAACUACGUGCCAGCAGCCGCGGUAAUACGGAGGGUGCAAGCGUUACUCGGAAUCAAUGGGGGUAAAGAGGGCGUAGGCGGGUUAGAAAGUCAGAUGGGAAAUCCUAUGGCUUAACCAUAGAACUGCAUUUGAAACUGUUUUUCUAGAGUGUGGGAGAGGUAGGUGGAAUGCGUGGUGUAGGGGUGAAAUCCGUAGAGAUCAAGAGGAAUACUGAUUGCGAAGGCGACCUGCUGGAACAUAACUGACGCUGAUGCGCGAAAGCGUGGGGAGCAAACAGGAUUAGAUACCCGGGUAGUC